RNAcentral lists this transfer RNA (68 nucleotides) under Stegodyphus mimosarum. It matches the Rfam family "tRNA". From Rfam's summary of the family: Transfer RNA (tRNA) molecules are approximately 80 nucleotides in length. Their secondary structure includes four short double-helical elements and three loops (D, anti-codon, and T loops). Further hydrogen bonds mediate the characteristic L-shaped molecular structure. tRNAs have two regions of fundamental functional importance: the anti-codon, which is responsible for specific mRNA codon recognition, and the 3' end, to which the tRNAs corresponding amino acid is attached (by aminoacyl-tRNA synthetases). tRNAs cope with the degeneracy of the genetic code in two manners: having more than one tRNA (with a specific anti-codon) for a particular amino acid; and 'wobble' base-pairing, i.e. permitting non-standard base-pairing at the 3rd anti-codon position. Lineage: Eukaryota; Metazoa; Arthropoda; Arachnida; Araneae; Eresidae. The record is from Rfam by way of RNAcentral.
CUUCGUGGUGUAAUGGUUAGCACACUGAGCCGGUAUUUCAGAGGUCCGUGGUUCGAUUCCCGGCGAAG